Molecule: non-coding RNA, 125 nt
Organism: Xyrichtys novacula (pearly razorfish)
Lineage: Eukaryota; Metazoa; Chordata; Actinopteri; Labriformes; Labridae
Source: the annotation of a GenBank genome assembly
GACAGGUAGAGUGGGAGGGGAGGAGGAGAGGAGACAGGUUGGCUGGAGGAGCAAAUGAAGGAAUGUAGUCCUUUUUUCUCUCUCUCUCUCUCUCCUCCUCCUCCUCUCAUUUCUUCUUUUUUCCU